CCUACGGGGCGCACCAGGGAGGAAUAUUGGACAAUGGGCGAAAGCCUGAUCCAGCAAUGCCGCGUGUGUGAAGAAGGUCUUCGGAUUGUAAAGCACUUUCGGCGGGGACGAUGAUGACGGUACCCGUAGAAGAAGCCCCGGCUAACUUCGUGCCAGCAGCCGCGGUAAUACGAAGGGGGCUAGCGUUGCUCGGAAUGACUGGGCGUAAAGGGCGCGUAGGCGGUUUAUGCAGUCAGAUGUGAAAUCCCCGGGCUUAACCUGGGAACUGCAUUUGAGACGCAUAGACUAGAGGUCGAGAGAGGGUUGUGGAAUUCCCAGUGUAGAGGUGAAAUUCGUAGAUAUUGGGAAGAACACCGGUGGCGAGGGCGGCAACCUGGCUCGAUACUGACGCUGAGGCGCGAAAGCGUGGGGAGCAAACAGGAUUAGAUACCCUCGUAGUC
RNAcentral lists this ribosomal RNA (440 nucleotides) under uncultured bacterium. Its description in RNAcentral is "bacterial SSU rRNA". It matches the Rfam family "Bacterial small subunit ribosomal RNA", at positions 338 to 795 of the family's 1533-position model. The record is from RNAcentral.